CGGAAAGAGAGGGAUUCGAACCCUCGAUGAUAUAAUUACCAUAUAGACGUUCCAGGUCUAUACCUUCAACCACUCGGACAUCUUUCC
RNAcentral lists this transfer RNA (87 nucleotides) under Chlorella vulgaris. Its description in RNAcentral is "tRNA-Ser". The record is from RNAcentral. Lineage: Eukaryota; Viridiplantae; Chlorophyta; Trebouxiophyceae; Chlorellales; Chlorellaceae.